UGACUUAACUUUCUUUUUAAUUAAAUUCCACAUCAAAAUUCCUGUCUUUUUAAAUAGAUCGCAUGUUUUGAAUUAUUCUUGCCAGUCACAUAUCAUAUAUUAUUAGGGUUAUUUGAUAUGCAACUAGUAAGAUGUUGGGUCCGACUCUCGAUCAUAUUUAGACUAUUUGAUAUCAUAAUUAGAAGUCUCACAGUCUUGAUUCCUCUAAAAUGUCAUUUACUGUGUUAGACUUUGACUCAGACUUAAGGGUUGUUUGAUAUUGAUGCUAACCAGUCAAAAGGAGGGAGUCGGUCCUCAGUCAGAAGUUGGAGUGUUUGAUUUGAGUUGUUCACCAUCGGACUUGGUCCAAAGAAGGGAAGCGGUCCAAAAAAUUUUGAGGAUUCGGUCCUCAUCUCAAAACCUCUUGACUGAGUUUUGGCCUUCAGUCGCCUCAAAUGACACGUUGUGCCCUUGUCUCCUUCAAUCGAUCACGUAGUUCUUCGUUUCCCAAUUUGCCCAAAUCAUCCGAUUCUGAAGUGAGGUCAAGUGAAGGUAGCAAUUGUUUUUAGUUUAGCUCUUUGUCAUCCUUCUUCUUCUUCAACCUCCGCUCUUAGACACUCGAAAAUCAGAUCCACCGAUCAUUCCAGAGAAAAAGGAAACAAAGAUUGAUUUUGGUAGAGGUUUUGUCAAUUCUGUAGUUUCUGCUUCGAGAACGUUUUUUUUUCUGCAAUUUUCACUUUCUUCUUCUCAUUAGGACAAAGAAGGGAUCCCUCCAGAUCAACACAUAGUGAUUUUUUCUGGAAAGGAAUUAGAAGAUGGAAGAACACUUACUGAUUACAACAUCCAGAAAGAAUCAACACUUUCGUCUAGUUCUUGCAUUAAGAUCUGGAAAUCAAUGAGAAGAUGGAAGAACAAUUACAUCUAGUUCAUGUCUUAUGUGAUUGCCCCAUGACAAUGUUUAUUUGUAUUUGUAUUUGUACUUGAGAUUUGGUGCUUAUUAUCGCUUAUCACAAUUUGCAUUGCUUUUUGGGGGAUUGGAAUAACUUUUUGUGACAAGGAUUAGAUUUAAGGACAUGUAUAUGAAAGAAAAUACAUUGUUAUGUUUUGCAUUUAUCAAAAUGCUAAGUGGUAAUUGUAAAAAUUAAUUCGCUCUUUGAA
RNA transcript from Lactuca sativa (garden lettuce), 1137 nucleotides. RefSeq lists it as uncharacterized. The record is from RefSeq and is a predicted model, not a curated record. Lineage: Eukaryota; Viridiplantae; Streptophyta; Magnoliopsida; Asterales; Asteraceae.